RNAcentral lists this ribosomal RNA (543 nucleotides) under uncultured bacterium. Its description in RNAcentral is "bacterial SSU rRNA". It matches the Rfam family "Bacterial small subunit ribosomal RNA", at positions 1 to 524 of the family's 1533-position model. The record is from RNAcentral.
GCUAUUUAGGUUAGAGUUUGAUCCUGGCUCAGGACGAACGCUGGCGGCGCGCUUAAUACAUGCAAGUCGAGCGAGAACCUGGGCUUCGGCCCAGGGGACAGCGGCGAACGGGUGAGUAACACGUGGGUAAUCAACCCCCGACACCGGGAUAGCCCAGGGAAACUUGGAUUAAUACCGGAUGCUCCGUCUGGCUUUCGGGCCGGCCGGAAAAGGGUAGCUUCGGCCUCCGGUCGGGGACGAGCCCGCGGCGGAUUAGCUUGUUGGUAUGGGUAACGGCCUACCAAGGCGACGAUCCGUAGCUGGUCUGAGAGGACGAUCAGCCACACUGGGACUGAGACACGGCCCAGACUCCUACGGGAGGCAGCAGUAGGGAAUCUUGCGCAAUGGGCGAAAGCCUGACGCAGCGACGCCGCGUGAGGGAAGAAGGCCUUCGGGUUGUAAACCUCUUUCAGGAGGGACGAAGCCACUCGGGUUAAUAGCCCAGAGGGUGACGGUACCUCCAGAAGAAGCCCCGGCUAACUACGUGCCAGCAGCCGCGGUAAU